ACUCUUUGCUAGCCCAUAUGUUAUUUUCCUACUAAUUAGUGAAACGUUUUCCCCUCAGAUGGGCCAAAAUCUCCAUUAGAUCAGCAAUCCACCUCCAAGAAACCAAAGAAAGAUUUAACCACCAUUUUAUCACUUUGGAAGAGUCACCUUCAUGAUCAAAGUGUAAGACAGUAGUAUCAACUUUGAACACACAAUGCUUCAGACCCCUGAAUUCAGCUUCAAUGGUGACACAUUGGGAGUUGCCCUGCAAAGUCGCCAUGAUUUGGCUAUUAGAGUCCCUUAAUACUCCCCCAAAACAUGCCGUUCUGGAGUUACGCCUAACACUGCCAUCAAAAUUAAGUUUAUACCAUCCAAUUGGCAGGGUUAACCAUACGUAGAUUUAGUUACCAUGCGACUUUUCAUCCUCAAUAAAACACUGAAAUUGCUCUAGAAAUCAGGAAUGGAGGCAUUUCGGAAAGAGUCCAUAGCUGUAGCCCAAUCUGAAAUCAUUCUGAGGAUGAUACAUUUAAGGCAGUCGACAUCCCUCAUUUCAGUAACAAAGAAUAGAAUUCCUUUCCUUCCGAAUAUGCCAAAAGACUGCUGAAGCAGUGUUCUUCCAAAGCACCAUCUCUCUUUUAGUAAAAGCCGAAGAUACCGUCUGACAUAGAAACCGAGAAUUAGUAUUUAGCAUCAUCCAAGUACAACAAAUGUUCGCUCUAACCCAACUCCAAAUUAAAGAAGCAGAGUUGCAGUAUAAGAACAAAUGAUCAUUCGUCUGUGCGUCCUGUUUUACACAUAAUGCAAACAUUAACCAAAUUCCUGCCCCUCUUCUGCAACUGCUCCACAUAAAGGGUUCUAUUCCAACAUGUCAGCCACAGAAAAGCCUUUUACUUUUGGGGAACCUUAAAGAACCAUACUUUAGUAACUCCAGUUAGAGUAUAG
Molecule: long non-coding RNA, 921 nt
Filed under: Amborella trichopoda
Lineage: Eukaryota; Viridiplantae; Streptophyta; Magnoliopsida; Amborellales; Amborellaceae
Description: long non-coding RNA (ATRI_LNC004416)
Source: RNAcentral